Molecule: ribosomal RNA, 440 nt
Filed under: uncultured bacterium
Lineage: Bacteria
Description: partial 16S ribosomal RNA
Rfam family: Bacterial small subunit ribosomal RNA
Source: RNAcentral
CCUACGGGAGGCAGCAGUGGGGGAUAUUGCACAAUGGGGGAAACCCUGAUGCAGCGACGCCGCGUGAGUGAAGAAGUAUUUCGGUAUGUAAAGCUCUAUCAUCAGGGAAGAAAAUGACAGUACCUGACCAAGAAGCCCCGGCUAACUACGAGACAGCAGCCGCGGUACUACGUGUGUGGCAAGCUUUAUCCGGAUUUACUGGGUGUAAAGGUAGCGUAGACGGUUAUGUAAGUCUGGAGUGAAAGCCCGGGGCGCAACCCCGGGACUGCUUUGGAAACUGUGUAACUGGAGUACAGGAGGGGCAGGCGGAAUUCCUGGUGUAGCGGUGAAAUGCGUAGAUAUCAGGAGGAACACCGGCGGCGAAGGCGGCCUGCUGGACUGAAACUGACGUUGAGGAUCGAAAGCGUGGGGAGCAAACAGGAUUAGAUACCCGAGUAGUC